RNAcentral lists this ribosomal RNA (428 nucleotides) under Melaloncha acicula. RNAcentral's name for it is "partial 12S small subunit ribosomal RNA". Lineage: Eukaryota; Metazoa; Arthropoda; Insecta; Diptera; Phoridae. The record is from RNAcentral.
CUAGGAUUAGAUACCCUAUUAUUUUAAAUGUAAUUUUAAAAACUUGAGUAUUAAUAGUUAUAAUCUUUAAACUUAAAAAAUUUGGCGGUAUUUUAGUCUAUUCAGAGGAACCUGUUUUUUAAUCGAUAUUCCACGUUGGACCUUACUUGACUUUAUAAAUUAGUAUGUAUACCGUCGUUAUAGAAAAUUUUAUAAGAAUAAUAAUUUUCAAUUAAUUUAAAAUAAUUUAAUAUCAGAUCAAGGUGCAGCAUAUAGUUAAGAUAAUAAUGGGUUACAAUAAAUUUAUUUAUAUGGAAAUAAUUAUGAAAAAGUUAUUAAAAGUGGAUUUGAAAGUAAAAUUUUAAAGAUUAUGAAUUUGAUUUUAGCUCUAAAAUAUGUACAUAUCGCCCGUCGCUCUUAUUUAUUAAGAUAAGAUAAGUCGUAACAUA